RNAcentral lists this ribosomal RNA (253 nucleotides) under uncultured bacterium. RNAcentral's name for it is "partial 16S ribosomal RNA". It matches the Rfam family "Bacterial small subunit ribosomal RNA", at positions 524 to 776 of the family's 1533-position model. The record is from RNAcentral.
UACGAAGGGGACUAGCGUUGUUCGGAUUUACUGGGCGUAAAGCGUGCGCAGGCGGUUUGCUAAGACAGGUGUGAAAUCCCCGGGCUUAACCUGGGAACUGCGCUUGUAACUGGCAAGCUAGAGUGUGGCAGAGGGGGGUGGAAUUCCACGUGUAGCAGUGAAAUGCGUAGAGAUGUGGAGGAACACCGGUGGCGAAGGCAGCCCCCUGGGCUAACACUGACGCUCAUGCACGAAAGCGUGGGGAGCAAACAGG